Molecule: long non-coding RNA, 235 nt
Filed under: Linum usitatissimum (flax)
Lineage: Eukaryota; Viridiplantae; Streptophyta; Magnoliopsida; Malpighiales; Linaceae
Description: long non-coding RNA (LUSI_LNC006137)
Source: RNAcentral
UGAAAUUCGCACCUAUUAGGCGUCAUUGUUGAAAAUCAAAACAAACUUUUUUUGGGGGUGUAAGACUAGGUUCAACCACUAGACAGAUGAUCACGAGCCGAGAAAUAACCUAUCAUGCGUCCAAUGGGCCUGGAGCUUAUACUAUUACUCAGAGUCCGAAGAUGACGAACGAAGGGUCGGGCCCAUAAUUCAUUUAAGUCAUAUGGACCUAAUCCAAGAAUCUAAACUGGAAAAA